AGAUAUGACUUAGUGGCGGACGGGUGAGUAACACGUGAGCAACCUGCCUAUCAGAGGGGGAUAACGAUUGGAAACGAUCGCUAAUACCGCAUGACAUAGCGGAAUCGCAUGGUUCUGUUAUCAAAGAUUUAUCGCUGAAAGAUGGGCUCGCGUCUGAUUAGAUAGUUGGUGGGGUAACGGCCUACCAAGUCUGCGAUCAGUAGCCGGACUGAGAGGUUGACCGGCCACAUUGGGACUGAGAUACGGCCCAGACUCC
RNAcentral lists this ribosomal RNA (256 nucleotides) under uncultured Oscillospiraceae bacterium. RNAcentral describes it as "partial 16S ribosomal RNA". It matches the Rfam family "Bacterial small subunit ribosomal RNA", at positions 83 to 339 of the family's 1533-position model. The record is from RNAcentral. Lineage: Bacteria; Bacillati; Bacillota; Clostridia; Eubacteriales; Oscillospiraceae.